AACCGUCCCUUCCUGUUUGACUGCCGACCGAGCCACCGUAUUGAGAGGCACAACGAAGCCGCAAUAGACUCGACAAUGCCUGGGACUGAAUAUGCUGUCAAAGACAGGAUUAUUUGUUUUCCGACGUGAUCUUGACAAUUAUACAUGUUGACAUGUUUGAUUUGCGAUGUUUACUCGAUAGAUAGCUAGGCUAUAUUUUAUAUUUCGCUGUCACUAUCCGUGUUCCUCUGAUUGUCCUAUUCACAUUCUCAUGGCGGAGACUAAAAUUAUAUACCAUAUUGACGAGGAGGAGACUCCUUAUUUAGUGAAACUGUCGGUUCCUCCUGAGAAAGUAACGUUGGCGGAUUUCAAAAAUGUCCUCAACAAUCGUCCGGUCAAUAGCUACAAAUUCUUCUUUAAAUCUAUGGAUCAGGAUUUUGGGGUCGUCAAAGAGGAGAUUUCUGAUGAUAACGCCAAACUGCCCUGCUUCAAUGGGAGAGUGGUGGCCUGGCUGGUGCUGGCAGAAAGCUCCCAUUCGGAUGGCGGAUCUCAAUGCACAGAGAGCCACCCCGAGCUUCCGCCUCCUCUGGAAAGGACAGGAGGCAUCGGUGAUUCCAGACCCCCUUCUUUCCAUGCCAACGCUGUGAGCAGUCGGGAUGCCCUGGAUGCAGACACAGGCACGGAGUCGCUGCUCAGCCAACGCCGGGAGAGGGAGCGUGACCGCGCCCGCCGGAGAGCCCACAACGCAGAGAUCUCCCGGGUCAACGGGCACUCCAAAACCGAUCGUGGCGCCCGCGACUCAGCCAUGGGCUUCGACAGUGCCUCCAUGAUGAGCAGCGAGCUGGAGUCCAGCUCUUUUGUGGACAGCGAAGAGGACGAAGACACUAGCAGACUCAGCAGCUCCACAGAGCAGAGUUCCUCCUCUCAGCUCAUGCGUAGGCACAAGCGGCGAAGACGGAGGCAGAAAGUGGCCAAGAUGGACCGGUCGUCUUCGUUUAGUAGCAUCACCGACUCCACUAUGAGCCUCAACAUCAUCACUGUCACUCUCAACAUGGAAAAGUACAACUUCCUGGGCAUCAGCAUAGUAGGCCAGAGCAACGACAGGGGGGACGGAGGAAUCUACAUCGGUUCCAUCAUGAAGGGCGGCGCAGUGGCUGCUGAUGGCAGGAUCGAGCCCGGCGACAUGCUCUUACAGGUUAAUGAUGUGAACUUUGAGAACAUGAGCAAUGACGACGCUGUGAGGAUUCUGAGAGAAAUUGUGUCCAAGCCCGGUCCCAUCAGUCUAACCGUGGCCAAGUGCUGGGACCCGUCCCCUCGAAGUUACUUCACUAUCCCCAGAGCUGAACCAGUGAGACCCAUUGACCCUGCUGCCUGGAUCUCCCACACCACAGCACUGACUGGGCCUUAUCCUCACUAUGAACUCGAUGAUCUGCCUCUCUCUGUGAAUAAAACGGACAUGGCGACCAUCGUGAAGGUGAUGCAACUCCCAGAUUCUGGCCUGGAGAUUCGUGACCGGAUGUGGCUGAAAAUCACUAUCGCUAACGCCAUCAUAGGUGCGGAUGUGGUAGACUGGCUGUACACGCGAGUGGACGGCUUCAAGGACCGACGGGACGCGCGCAAGUACGCCAGCAGCCUCCUGAAGCACGGCUACCUGAGACACACGGUCAACAAGAUCACUUUCUCCGAGCAGUGCUACUACACCUUCGGGGAUCUGUGCCAAAACAUGGCGUCUCUCAACCUAAACGAAGGCUCCAGUGGUGGGGCCUCGGAGCAGGACACCCUGGCCCCUCUCCCCCCUCCCGCCACCAACCCGUGGCCCCUAGGCGGUCAGCCGUACCCUUACCCGUACCCCAGCGCCCCGCCCACCUUCCCACCUGGUUACUCUGACCCGUGCCACAGCUUCCACAGUGGCAGCGCUGGCAGCCAGCAAAGUGAAGGUAGCCGAAGCAGCGGCUCCAACCCCAGCGCUGGGACGGGGACUGGACGCCGGCCUUCCCCGAGGGACAAGGAGCCCAAGUUGGCGUGCGGAGGCAGUGGCGUUGGCGUCGGUGGCGUCGGCGUAGGGGGCAGCGAGUCCGAGCAGGGCACGUGGGGUUGCCGGCGGCCGGGCAACCGCUCGGCCAGUCAGCUGAGCCACCAUAGCAGCCACGCCCACUCCCACUCGCAGUCCCACCGGAGCCAAUGCCCAUCGCAGCACAGCUACGCCUUCUCCUACAGCCACGCCAUCCCCUCCGCCAUCACCGCCAGCGGCCCGCCCAACCACCACAACUACCACCAACACCACCAACACCACCAACCCCACCACCACCACCACCAGCAGCAGCAGCAGCAGCAGCAUCAGCAGCACCCGGCGUCCUGCAGUCACAGCGAUCGGAGUCACGCGUCCUCCUACGGGCCCCCAGGCCUGCCGCCUCCCUACUGCAUGGCCCGCUACGCGCCCAAGGCCUCGGCCCCCUCGGCAGCGGCGUCCAGCAACAGCCCCCCCGGGGCGCCCCCGGUGCGCGAGCUGGCCGACGUGCCGCCCGAGCUGACCGCCAGCCGUCAGUCCUUCCAGCACGCCAUGGGGAACCCCUGCGAGUUCUUCGUUGACAUCAUGUAACAGGGGACAGUGCCUUCUUUAUUAAAAAAGACAGGACGUUAAGGAGCCCAGCACAAGGCUCCUUGUGAGAGCGAGCGGCAUCAGCCUGAGAGCACGCCAAGAGGAGGAUGGUGGGUGGUGACGCAGCACUGAGGUGACAGUGUGACGUCUGCUUUACGCUGAGUAAAAAUGUCACGACGGGGGUGGGCAGAGGUGGUGGAGGUGUCGCUGGGGUCGGACCACUACACUGAGAGCAACGUGAUGAGACCUCCACUCGUGGCACGCAAGCAGAGAGAGAUUUCGGAUGAUUGAUAACCACAUGGUGACAUCAAAAGCAAAAUGGCUUCAACAACACCAACAAGAAAUGUGCAACCAAUAGCAUUUUUUCCCCUGCUCUUUCAAUGUAAAGUCAACUUUGGCCCUUGACCUGUAAACAUUGAGGAGGAAGGAACUGGAAAAUGUAGAUAAAUCUGCCAUUCUUAAUAUGUCAGGGAGAAUAUGAUAAACAAGGCAUUAUUGUUUUAUUUUUUUAAUGUGAUUUAACAAACAGCAAAAAUGAACUUUUUCCUGCUCCAGAUGCUUGCCAUCCAUAAAUGCAUAAAAGGAAAACAUAUGGAGUAUAGGUAAUGGACAGACAACGUUUCAAAAUGAAGUGUGCAUCCUCCUUCAGUUUGGAUGCACCCGUUCAUACCAAAGCCAGCACCCACAAGGCAGCCAGUAAGUUAACAUGAGUUAGCCUAUUAUUAAGAUGUCAGCCAGAUAACCCCUUGUUUAGUAUUAUAAUAGAGUGCUUGUAAAGAUACUGUUAUUGCAUGUGGGCUAGAGAGCAGAGCUGUGAGUUUACCACCCCCAGAAGACACUAGUGCAGUGCAUUAAGGAGUGAACUGACCACAAGGAUAAAGCUGCAGAAGGGAACCACAGCACCACUGGCUCUGUAUGAUUGUUUCUCAGUCACCUUGCUUUGAGUCAGUAUCAUGUGUAGGUCAUUAUGGUCCAGUCCUGUGACCGUGGUGGCCUGUGGUUCUGUCUGAAUCACUUCAACAAAGUUUCUAUUUCAACAAGACACUAAGCAAUCCUGUAUGUCAUACUUUGCGACCUGACCUAUGAUUCCUGUAUGUCAUCCUCUGUGAGUUGCCAGUCACCCUCUGGCCUCUGCAUUGCAACAGGAUCUACCAACAGGCCAGAUCUACUGACCGCUGACUUGACCGUCAUAUUUAGUUAAGUCAAGUGAAGUCACAUUUAUGUAUGUAGCGCACUUAAACACAAUACAAUUGACCCAAGGUGCUCACAAAAAUAAAAGAAAAUAAAUAUAGUAAUAAAGACAAAAAUAAGUGAAAAAAUAAAUAAUAGUAAUGAUAAUGAUAAACCGAUUAUGAUUAUAGAAUAAAAAAAGAUACGGUUACUGAAACUACUACUCCUAAAGCAGUAGUAGUAACAAAUGUAACAAAUACAAAUAGCAAAAUGUAACAAAUACAAAUAAGAGUGAAGUUAAAGGUGGCAGUUAGCAUUUAGGGAAUAGGGACACUUGGAACAGCCAACCCUACUUGUUCUAGUAAAGACAAAUGGCUGAUGGAUAGAUCAACAAAGGCAUUUCACAUCCAGCCACAGGUUAUCCACCAGACCCCCCCUCCCACCACCACCACAUUUCUGACAAUACACAUCUCUUGCAUUAUUGCACGUUUGCACAUCUUUCUGCUCUAUCACAACAUAUCAUAGGGCUUAAAAUGUCCUUAUCUGUUGCACUUUUUGUCUUAUUGUCUUCUUUACUGUGGGAUAGAGAGAAACGCAAUUUCUAUUCCUCUGCAUGUCUAGUGUAUG
Alosa sapidissima (American shad) is the source of this 4375-nucleotide RNA transcript. It is a transcript of the gene named dishevelled segment polarity protein 1a, with no coding region annotated. The transcript is spliced from 16 exons. NCBI's taxonomy places the organism in Eukaryota, Metazoa, Chordata, Actinopteri, Clupeiformes, Clupeidae. The record is from RefSeq and is a predicted model, not a curated record.